ACUUACAAGCUGUGGAAGCACAUUUCUUGUGUGACCGCGUACUUUUUGUAGAACGGGCCAACGAGUUACGUUAAGUAGCAAGGUUAAGCACUUAAGGUGCGGAGCCGUAGCGAAAGCGAGUUUUAACUGAGCGUUCAGUUACUUGACGUAGACCCGAAACCGGGCGACCUACCCAUGAGCAGGAUGAAGCGAAAGUAAAAUUUCGUGGAGGUCCGAACCCACGAGCG
RNAcentral lists this ribosomal RNA (227 nucleotides) under Clostridioides difficile. Its description in RNAcentral is "partial 23S ribosomal RNA". It matches the Rfam family "Bacterial large subunit ribosomal RNA", at positions 562 to 788 of the family's 2925-position model. Lineage: Bacteria; Bacillati; Bacillota; Clostridia; Peptostreptococcales; Peptostreptococcaceae. The record is from RNAcentral.